Molecule: unclassified non-coding RNA, 1493 nt
Filed under: Hevea brasiliensis (rubber tree)
Lineage: Eukaryota; Viridiplantae; Streptophyta; Magnoliopsida; Malpighiales; Euphorbiaceae
Source: RNAcentral
CCAGACUGCAGCAUCUGGCUCAAAUGGCAUUGUCAUUGCAAUCUGCUCUGCUUACUCUAAUCGCCCUGCUCGCCCCAUUGCACCCACCAACACCAAGCAUGUAUAAUGCUCCAAACAAGGUUCGAGGUCGUACUCCGCUCUCAUCCUUGGAAGCCACUGUUCACACUCAAAAAACAAAGCAGCUUUCCAGACGCCGUUAAGCAAGCCAAAAAAGUGAACUCAUCAAGUACAAGCCCUUUAGCCGGCAUUACAUUGUAGAAGCCAAGCACAGAUCCCUUAUCUUAUCCCCCUGUUGAGCAUAAACAGCCAUCAUAGCAUUACACCCCACCAUUUUCAAUUCAGGCGACAACUCAUCAAAAACCAUCCUAUUCCUUGCAUCUACUGCAAGCCUCUAUAAUCACAUUCCUGUCCAAUCCCGCAACCACAUCAUUGCCAUGAAUCACUCCACACUGCCCGAAUAUUAGUAUGAACUGUGAAUGUGAAGAGAUUUUAUGGCUUGAGCGUAGAGGAUGCGUGGGUAAGUUUUGGUGUCUAAAUCUAGCAACUGGUUCAUUGUGAGAAAAAAAAAAAUCAUAUAUAGCCUGCCAGCAGACUAUAGAUGUCUUUGGAGUUGCAAUUUUUCUUCUUAAUCAGAAAUAAAAUUAAUUAUUGCGGAGUAAUGGUACAUGUACUGAAUAUGAUCUUUAAGGUGUUCGAGUCUCUCCUCAAAAUUAUUGCAGGUGUACUUGAAAGUGAUAGUUUUAUAUGUAGCCUGCCAGCAGCAAGGCUUCCAAGAAAUAAGAAAAAAAAAAUAGAGAAAACCUGACUUCAAAUAUCUUGGUAAAUUGUUCCCUUUCAUAUUCGCAAACAAGAGAAAUCUGGGAUAGUGCUGUUCUUUAUUGGUGUUGCACUCAACCCUCUCUUGGAUUCUUGAAUCCUGGCAGAAUUAUACUAAAAGCUAUCAUUUCAAAUCUAUACUGUUGGAGCUGGAAUAUUUCUUCUAGGAUGCGAUUGAAUUCAGUACUGUCAACUAAAGAUUGCUGAGGUUGCAAAAUGAUGCCAAUAGUACAUUUUCUUUCUUCAAUCUACCAGAUAUGGAGUUUACAACUCUUCAAUCUUGUUCAUUCCCCAUCACAGCACCUGGAAAUCAUCCUACCGGAUCUGGAAUGUUUGUGAAAUAAAAGAGUUUGCCUUUGGAUUGGUAUUCUAAAAUGCAAUAAUGUUCGCGUUUUGUUAUUUGCUACUGCUGUGAAGUUUAUUUACGUUUAGAGUUGUGAUCUGGCAACAACACAUCUUUACGGAUGUGGUGUCAACUGAAUAUUGGAUGCUUUGUCAUCCAAGUUGCCAUGCCAUAGAAGCUCGACCAAUCAUUGGAUUCUGUUUGUGAUAACUUUCUACAGCUGUCGCCUCUCAUACCCAGCUGUGAUCCUUCAAGUCUUCACACUAUUAUUUUGUUCUGUUUUUCUUUAAAUUAAUGAUAAUUUUGUAAUUUUAUAUGGAUUUAUAUUAGAAAG